CCUACGGGUGGCAGCAGUGGGGAAUAUUGGGCAAUGGAGGCAAGUCUGACCCAGCAAUGCCGCGUGAGGGAUGAAGGUAAUUUGAUUGUAAACUUCUUUUCUUUGGGACGAACAAAUGACGGUACCUAAGGAAUAAGCCACGGCUAACUACGUGCCAGCAGCCGCGGUAAUACGUAGGGGGCAAGCGUUGUUCGGAAUGACUGGGUGUAAAGGGCGUGUAGGCGGUGUGAUAAGUCAGAUGUGAAAUACGAGGGCUCAACCCCGGGGCUGCAUUUGAAACUGUUUGACUUGAGUACCGGAGAGGAAAGCGGAAUUCCUAGUGUAGCGGUGAAAUGCGUAGAUAUUAGGAGGAACAUCAGUGGCGAAGGCG
This 370-nucleotide ribosomal RNA is filed under the name uncultured bacterium. RNAcentral's name for it is "partial 16S ribosomal RNA". It matches the Rfam family "Bacterial small subunit ribosomal RNA", at positions 338 to 723 of the family's 1533-position model. The record is from RNAcentral.